GAUGAACGCUGGCGGCGUGCCUAAUACAUGCAAGUCGAGCGAACAGACGAGGAGCUUGCUCCUUUGACGUUAGCGGCGGACGGGUGAGUAACACGUAGGUAACCUACCUAUAAGACUGGGAUAACUUCGGGAAACCGGAGCUAAUACCGGAUAAUAUUUCGAACCGCAUGGUUCGAUAGUGAAAGAUGGCUUUGCUAUCCCUUAUAGAUGGACCUGCGCCGUAUUAGCUAGUUGGUAAGGUAACGGCUUACCAAGGCAACGAUACGUAGCCGACCUGAGAGGGUGAUCGGCCACACUGGAACUGAGACACGGUCCAGACUCCUACGGGAGGCAGCAGUAGGGAAUCUUCCGCAAUGGGCGAAAGCCUGACGGAGCAACGCCGCGUGAGUGAUGAAGGUCUUCGGAUCGUAAAACUCUGUUAUUAGGGAAGAACAAACGUGUAAGUAACUGUGCACGUCUUGACGGUACCUAAUCAGAAAGCCACGGCUAACUACGUG
Molecule: ribosomal RNA, 497 nt
Filed under: uncultured bacterium
Lineage: Bacteria
Description: partial 16S ribosomal RNA
Rfam family: Bacterial small subunit ribosomal RNA
Source: RNAcentral